Molecule: long non-coding RNA, 378 nt
Organism: Penaeus chinensis
Lineage: Eukaryota; Metazoa; Arthropoda; Malacostraca; Decapoda; Penaeidae
Exons: 3
Source: RefSeq, a predicted model, not a curated record
CGCACACCCAACCUCCGACACAGCAGCUCCCCGCGGUCUUGAAUUGCACGUGACACGUUCCCCUCGCGAAUUACAGGCACCCAACGCUCAAGCCACCGAUCGGCCGUCUCAGGAUUUAGCCGGUGACCAGAGUGUCGUAAUCCGCUAAGGAAAAAGUUUUUGUUCAAGUUUGUGCCUGUGAAGAAACUUAAGUAACUUAAAGAUGGCGGCCUUCAUCGCAAAACAGAUGAUGGGGAGCCAACUUAACGCUGUAAAAGGUUAGUCUUUAGCGUCUGGCCGUCUCGCCUUUCAGUAAGUACAUAAAAAGAGAAGAUUUAAGAUAAUAAUAAGAAGAAAAGGAGAAAGAAAAAGAAAAUGGUGCGAAUAUUCAUAUCAAAG